Molecule: transfer RNA, 71 nt
Filed under: Saurida brasiliensis (Brazilian lizardfish)
Lineage: Eukaryota; Metazoa; Chordata; Actinopteri; Aulopiformes; Synodontidae
Description: tRNA-Lys
Rfam family: tRNA
About the family: Transfer RNA (tRNA) molecules are approximately 80 nucleotides in length. Their secondary structure includes four short double-helical elements and three loops (D, anti-codon, and T loops).
Source: RNAcentral
CACUAAGAAGCUAAAUGUGUAGCGUUAGCCUUUUAAGCUAAAGAGUGGUGGCUCACAACCACCCUUAGUGA